GACUGUCAGCCAGGUGCAUCAAGCCCCUUUUAUCUUAUUCUUCUUUCUCUCCAUUUUCCCACAUGUCCAUGUUCCUCUAUAAAUCACUGUGAUACACCUCUCACUCUGCUUCCCAUAAAUAAUGUUUUACAAAGACCCACAGGCCUCUUAUGAUAUGCUAAAAUGUUUCACACCAUCCCUCAAACCCCCUCCAGAUAUUCCACAAUGCUCCUGAUAACCAUGUUCCUAUCCCUUAUCAGUUUGCAAGGCUCUGCCUAUUUCCUUUAGUGGCCCGUAAUUUCACAGCCAAAUAGUUGUGGUCUUCAUUAUUGUCUCCAUUAUAACCUACUCCUCAAUGUUUGUGCAUCUGUGCUUGUUAUUAGCUGUUUCUUUUAUUCUCAACAAAAUUAUGUAGUAAACCAUAUUCUCUUUCUUUCCACACACCCUUAGAGUUUCACGCUAAGAAAUUACUCAAAAUACCUUGUCAUCCAAGCCUGUUUACUACUGUUACUUACAGACUUGACCUGCAAUGUGCUGGGUGUGAGGAGAAAGACAAGAAUUCCUGCUGGCACUCCAAGCUGUCUUCCAACUCCACCACCACACAAGUAACAUGGAUAGAUAUCCUGUGAAGCAAAUCCCUCACAUCUUGAACUAUGUUUCUUAAAGGAUUCACAGGUUCUCAGCAUUCUUCUGUUGCAUUUCCACUGUGGAAGUAAGAUUUAGAAACAAUACACCUACAUUUGAGUCUUGAUAUAUCUACUCCAUAUGUUAUGAAAUAUCCAUUUGGCCAGUUUGAGUCAGCUGUCCUGGUUCUGUCACCUCCCAGCUUCUUGUGCACCACCCGCCUCCUUGCUGACAGGACAUCAGGAGAAGUCAAAAAGUUCCUGACUUAGUUUUAAUCUCAUGAUCAGCAAGAAAAUUCAAGGUACAAGAAACAGGCCUGAGGAAAAACACAGCACAGCAGCCUUUGCCAUUGUUUUCAAUAUCAAAUGAGUAUUACUUCUGUCUUCUGAUGAGGGAAGCAUCAAUGGUCCCAAUUUUAUGAAGCACAACUGUGUUAUUGUGGAGGAGCAAUGAAGGCUUACAUUACUUUAUCUCAUGAUUGACAACCACUGUACAGAAGAGAUCAUCAGGCUCAGGCUGUAAUCUUGAAAAAAUCAUUUGGGCCCACGUAAGUCAGUAGAAAAGUAAGCAUUAUUUUCAGUAUUUUAGUUUAAAAAAAUAAUUA
Molecule: non-coding RNA, 1207 nt
Organism: Anas platyrhynchos (mallard)
Lineage: Eukaryota; Metazoa; Chordata; Aves; Anseriformes; Anatidae
Source: RefSeq, a predicted model, not a curated record